GAUGAACGCUGGCGGCGUGCCUAAUACAUGCAAGUCGAGCGAACAGACGAGGAGCUUGCUCCUCUGACGUUAGCGGCGGACGGGUGAGUAACUCGUGGAUAACCUACCUAUAAGACUGGGAUAACUUCGGGAAACCGGAGCUAAUACCGGAUAAUAUAUUGAACCGCAUGGUUCAAUAGUGAAAGACGGUUUUGCUGUCACUUAUAGAUGGAUCCGCGCCGCAUUAGCUAGUUGGUAAGGUAACGGCUUACCAAGGCAACGAUGCGUAGCCGACCUGAGAGGGUGAUCGGCCACACUGGAACUGAGACACGGUCCAGACUCCUACGGGAGGCAGCAGUAGGGAAUCUUCCGCAAAGGGCGAAAGCUUGACGGAGCAACGCCGCGUGAGUGAUGAAGGUCUUCGGAUCGUAAAACUCUGUUAUUAGGGAAGAACAAAUGUGUAAGUAACUAUGCACGUCUUGACGGUACCUAAUCAGAAAGCCACGGCUAACUACGUG
This 497-nucleotide ribosomal RNA is filed under the name uncultured bacterium. RNAcentral's name for it is "partial 16S ribosomal RNA". It matches the Rfam family "Bacterial small subunit ribosomal RNA", at positions 28 to 507 of the family's 1533-position model. The record is from RNAcentral.